This 333-nucleotide unclassified non-coding RNA is filed under the name soil metagenome. Its description in RNAcentral is "partial contains 5.8S ribosomal RNA, internal transcribed spacer 2, and large subunit ribosomal RNA". The stretch from base 1 to 120 matches the Rfam family "5.8S ribosomal RNA", at positions 35 to 154 of the family's 154-position model. The record is from RNAcentral.
GAUGAAGAACGUAGCGAAAUGCGAUAAGUAAUGUGAAUUGCAGAAUUCAGUGAAUCAUCGAAUCUUUGAACGCACAUUGCGCCCAUUAGUAUUCUAGUGGGCAUGCCUGUUCGGGCGUCAUUUCAACCCUUAAGCCUAGCUUAGUAUUGGGAAUCGACUUUACUGUCGUUCCUCAAAUUCAACGGCGGAUUUAUAGCAAUCUCUGAACGUAGUAAUUUUUUUCCUCGUUUUUGAAAUACUAUAAACCUCAGCCGCUAAACCCCCAAUUUUUCUAUGGUUGACCUCGGAUCAGGUAGGAAUACCCGCUGAACUUAAGCAUAUCAAUAAGCGGGA